CGCGUGAGCGAAGAAGGCCUUCGGGUCGUAAAGCUCUGUUGUUAAAGAAAAACAUGGGUGAAAGUAACUGUUCACCCCUUGACGGUAUCUAACCAGAAAGCCACGGUUAACUACGUGCCAGCAGCCGCG
RNAcentral lists this ribosomal RNA (129 nucleotides) under uncultured bacterium. Its description in RNAcentral is "partial 16S ribosomal RNA". It matches the Rfam family "Bacterial small subunit ribosomal RNA", at positions 398 to 519 of the family's 1533-position model. The record is from RNAcentral.